RNAcentral lists this microRNA precursor (266 nucleotides) under Marmota monax (woodchuck). The record is from RNAcentral. Lineage: Eukaryota; Metazoa; Chordata; Mammalia; Rodentia; Sciuridae.
GAGAGAGAGAGAGAGAGAGAAAGAGAACGAGGCUGUGCACAUGGAUGGAUGAUAAGGGAAGAAUCCAACAUCACAUGAGGAUUGGAUUACCUAGAUGGCUCCUCUGCAAUUCAGAUAAUUUUUCAAAUAAUUAUGAAUUUUACUUGACAUUUGAAGAAUUUGAAGCCUAUAAAUAAGUUUUAUGUAGCUAACAAGAUAUGCAGCUUCUGCUUGAUCACAUCCAUGUGCACAGCCUCAUUCUCUUUCUCUCUCUCUCUUACAUACAU